Molecule: non-coding RNA, 156 nt
Organism: Gossypium raimondii (Peruvian cotton)
Lineage: Eukaryota; Viridiplantae; Streptophyta; Magnoliopsida; Malvales; Malvaceae
Source: Rfam
AACUCUCAAAAACGAAUAUCUUGGCUCUAGCAUCGAUGAAGAACGUAGCAAAAUGCAAUACUUGCUACGAAUUAUGGAAUCCCAUGAACCAUUGAGUCUUUCAAAGCAAGAUGCAGCCCAAGCCAUUAGAUCAAGGGCACGUCUGCCUAGGUGUCA